RNAcentral lists this small nuclear RNA (176 nucleotides) under Cervus hanglu yarkandensis (Yarkand deer). RNAcentral describes it as "U4 spliceosomal RNA (ENSCHYG00000022808.1)". The stretch from base 1 to 82 matches the Rfam family "U4 spliceosomal RNA". Lineage: Eukaryota; Metazoa; Chordata; Mammalia; Artiodactyla; Cervidae. The record is from Rfam by way of RNAcentral.
AGCUUUGCUCAGUGGCGGUAUCGUAGCCAAUGAGGUUUAUCCGAGGCGCGAUUAUUGCUAAUUGGAAAAAAAAACACAUUAUAGCUUUAGCCUUGCUUUAGUCUUCUGUCCCUCCAGAUAAAGAUUCAGUAAGAUACCCAGUGAUAAAACUAUGCAAUUUUCCAAGAGCACUGAAA